AUUCUGGAAAAGGUCUCAAUGAGUCCAGCUAGGUGAUGAAGGAAAAUUCAGAAGCACAAUCAUCUUAAGGGUUGUAGAACUAUGGUGAUGUUCCCAAGCAUACAUGGUCUAGUGGUAGAAGAAGUUUUGGUGUAAGGGAAAACUUUUAGAUCCGAGUUCGAUUUUUCUUGUAAACAAAAACACAAGUCUGUUAGUUGGGGUUUGACCUAAUUGGUUUACAUGGUAAUCAGAAAUGCAUGCGGCUUCACUACCCUUUGACAUUAGUCGGAAAGCAUUCCAAACUCGGAAUAGUGACAAUUCGAGGAAAAGUCCACUCCAAAACAUUUUGGUACGUUUCCAUCCGGACUAACCGGAUCAACCGAUAGAGUUUAUCAAACAAGAAAAA
Molecule: small RNA, 385 nt
Filed under: Arabidopsis thaliana (thale cress)
Lineage: Eukaryota; Viridiplantae; Streptophyta; Magnoliopsida; Brassicales; Brassicaceae
Description: ATSL147570
Source: RNAcentral